Molecule: ribosomal RNA, 465 nt
Filed under: Vreelandella stevensii
Lineage: Bacteria; Pseudomonadati; Pseudomonadota; Gammaproteobacteria; Oceanospirillales; Halomonadaceae
Description: partial 16S ribosomal RNA
Rfam family: Bacterial small subunit ribosomal RNA
Source: RNAcentral
CCUACGGGAGGCUGCAGUGGGGAAUAUUGGACAAUGGGGGCAACCCUGAUCCAGCCAUGCCGCGUGUGUGAAGAAGGCCCUCGGGUUGUAAAGCACUUUCAGUGAGGAAGAACGCCUGGUGGUUAAUACCCAUCAGGAAAGACAUCACUCACAGAAGAAGCACCGGCUAACUCCGUGCCAGCAGCCGCGGUAAUACGGAGGGUGCGAGCGUUAAUCGGAAUUACUGGGCGUAAAGCGCGCGUAGGUGGCUUGAUAAGCCGGUUGUGAAAGCCCCGGGCUCAACCUGGGAACGGCAUCCGGAACUGUCAAGCUAGAGUGCAGGAGAGGAAGGUAGAAUUCCCGGUGUAGCGGUGAAAUGCGUAGAGAUCGGGAGGAAUACCAGUGGCGAAGGCGGCCUUCUGGACUGACACUGACACUGAGGUGCGAAAGCGUGGGUAGCAAACAGGACUAGAUACCCCGGUAGUC